AAAAUGUCACAAGGUGCUGAGAAUCAGGCAGAACUUGUUGAGGAAAGCAUUCAACAUGCGAAGGAAGCUAUCACUUUAGAUGUCAAGGAUGGUUACUCUUGGUAUAAUCUUGGAAAUGCAUGCCUUACUAGUUUUUUUGUCUCUGGAGCUUGGGAUCAUAGCAAACUUCAACAUUCUGUA
This is a long non-coding RNA of Neltuma alba, 180 nucleotides long. RefSeq lists it as uncharacterized. The record is from RefSeq and is a predicted model, not a curated record. Lineage: Eukaryota; Viridiplantae; Streptophyta; Magnoliopsida; Fabales; Fabaceae. The transcript is spliced from 3 exons.